RNAcentral lists this non-coding RNA (1052 nucleotides) under Giardia lamblia ATCC 50803. RNAcentral's name for it is "Eukaryotic large subunit ribosomal RNA". It matches the Rfam family "Eukaryotic large subunit ribosomal RNA", at positions 1891 to 3161 of the family's 3401-position model. The record is from Rfam by way of RNAcentral. Lineage: Eukaryota; Fornicata; Diplomonadida; Hexamitidae.
GGAGCGAACGCGGCUCAGGGAAGUCGGCAAGCCGGCUCCGUAACCUCGGGAAAAGGAGUGGCUCUGACGGCGCGCCGGGUCAGAACUGGAACGGACGCGGGGAUCCCGACUGUUUACUAGAAACACAGCGUCGCGAGGGCCGCACCCGGCGCUGGCGCGACGUGAUUUCUGCCCAGUGCCACGACCGUCACCGUGAAGCGAUCCGCCGAAGCCCUGGUAAACGGCGGGAGUAACUAUGACUCUCUUAAGGUAGCCAAAUGCCUCGUCGGGCAAUUUCCGACGUGCAUGAAUGGACCAACGAGGAUCCCACUGUCCCGAGCCGCGCCUCCGCGAGCCUCCAGCCUCGGGAACGGGCGAGGGCCGGCCAGCGGGGCAAGAAGACCCUUUUGAGCUUGACUCCAGCCCGGGCCUGUGGGGCGGGGCGGCCGGCGCAGCGCACAGGGGAGGCCGCGCCCCUGAGACACCCUGACGGCCGCCGCCGCCCCGCUCACCCGGUCGCGCGGGGACCCGCCCGGGCGGGGAGUUCGGCUGGGGCGGCGCGCCUGCUACACCGGACCGCAGGCGUCCCACGGCGGGCUCAGCGAGGACGGAGACCUCCCGCGGAGCAGAAGGGCACAAGCCCGCCCGACCCGCGCCCCCCGUGCCGGCGCGGGCCGCGAAAGCGGGGCCUACCGAUCCUUCGCCGCCCCGGCCGCGGGCGCGGAGGUGGCAGAAAAGUUACCACAGGGAUAACUGGCUUGUGGCCGCCGAGCGCCCGCAGCGACGCGGCUUUUUGAUCCUUCGAUGUCGGCUCUUCCUACCGUCCGCGCGCACCGGCGCGGAAGCGUCGGAUUGUUCACCCGUUCAAGGGAUCGUGAGCUGGGUUUAGACCGUCGUGAGACAGGUUAGUUUUACCCUACUGGCCCCGGGGCCAGAGCACGGCGGGCCAGUACGAGAGGAACGCCCGCCGCGGGCCGCCAGCCCCGCGGUUGCCCGGCCGGGCAGCGCCGCGCCGCCGCGCCCGGGGGCCCUGCGCUGACCGCCUCUAAGCGCGCACCCCGCCUCGCGCCCCG